Molecule: ribosomal RNA, 358 nt
Filed under: uncultured bacterium
Lineage: Bacteria
Description: partial 16S ribosomal RNA
Rfam family: Bacterial small subunit ribosomal RNA
Source: RNAcentral
CCUACGGGAUGCAGCAGUGAGGAAUAUUGGUCAAUGGGCGGAAGCCUGAACCAGCCAAGUCGCGUGAGGGAUUAAGGCCCUGCGGGUCGUAAACCUCUUUUGCCGGGGAGCAGAGGUCCGUACGUGUCCGGGCCGGGAGAGUACCCGGUGAUAAAGCAUCGGCUAACUCCGUGCCAGCAGCCGCGGUAAUACGGAGGAUGCGAGCGUUAUCCGUAUGUAUUGGGUUUAAGGGGUGCGUAGGCGGGCAUUUAAGCCGGCGGUCAAAUGUCAGGGCUAAACCCCGGCCUGACGUUGGAACUGGGUGCCUGGAGUGGGCGAGAAGUAUGCGGAAUGCGUGGUGUAGCGGUGAAAUGCAUAG